UUGCUGCCAAGUUAAAUGACAACCUGAUUUAUUGUUCUGUGAACCUACCUGCUGAAUCACACUUGUGGUUGAUCCACUUGUCCUCCAGUAUGAGAUGCGUCAGAUUAAGUACUUCUCACCAUAGCUACAGUAAUCGAUAGGUUCUCAGAACUCGAGGUCCUCUCAUAACCAAACCAUUGCUGUAGAUGCGUGGUCUGUGCGUUCCACAUCUGCCGAACUUAUUCAGGGGACCUGGUAGCUGCAUUGUUGGAACCUGGCCGGGUCCGUAUGACCUAAGCAACAUCAUCUGAGGUCAUCCAAGGCUACUGGAUAAACCCAUUGGCCGUUGAUUACAUUUAAAAACAUGUUGCAGAUGUUUGUGUUCUGGGAAGCUAUUUUAGUGCAAUUAUGGUGGAACAGUAAAAGGUAGGACAGCUUUCUCAUUGUUCACAGGCAGAAGGGGAUUCCUGGUCCAGUUCACAGAGGACCAUUACGGGUCGCUGCCGGCCGUACAAAUUUUGCUCACUGGAAUUGCCAGAAAAUCUCAUGCACCCCAUCUGGGCUAGAACAUCGCUUCAGUCCCCAAACCUCUGAUCAAGGGCACCGCAGCCAUUCAAAUAGUAAUACGUGAGUAAUAAUAAGUGAGUUGGACGGUUGCUGCAGGUAAUUUUACAAGAGGUUGACACACUUUGAUGCCCAUAUUUUCGUGAUGUAUAAUAUCACUAUUUUUCAUAUGCAUGAAGAUCGUUUAAAAAACAUUUUCUGUUUAUGAACUACUGUACUGUGUAUAUUGCCUAAGUGGUUGUUUCCAUGUUAGUUAUUUCGUAAUGGCUGCUUUCUGGCUUUUCUGGGAAUAUGAUUAACGGUAAUGCAGGUCACAGGCGGGGCUGCUGUCACGCUGCAGCGCCGACAGCGUUUCCAGGUAAAAGGUGUGAUGGUUUCCUGUGGCUGAUUGGAGGGAGCUUCUUCCUCUCUAACAGGUAGCGGGAGGCUUUUCGCCAGGUUUCAUCAGUGUCCAUUUUUGGUAUUAAUGCAAGAAUAGUGAGGAACGGCAUGUGUGUUCACAUGUCGUCCUGCAGACGCAAGUGUUGGUCCUAUGCUGUGGUCUUACUUCUGCUGAUCUGGUCCUGGUUGUAAGACUGAAUAAACAUUGACUGGAAUUCCUUCUAUUCUGUAAAAAGUUACUAAUAUCUUGUUGGAAGGCUAGAACACCGCUUCAGUUCUCAAACCUCUUCCAGCUCAAUUAAUUCAUUAGCUUAAUUAGUUAACUCA
Molecule: long non-coding RNA, 1251 nt
Organism: Brienomyrus brachyistius
Lineage: Eukaryota; Metazoa; Chordata; Actinopteri; Osteoglossiformes; Mormyridae
Exons: 3
Source: RefSeq, a predicted model, not a curated record